CCUGAUGGCUCAGAUGGUAAAGAAUCUGCCUGCAAUGCAGGAGACCCAGGUUUGAUUCCUGGGUCAGGA
This 69-nucleotide transfer RNA is filed under the name Bos taurus (domestic cattle). It matches the Rfam family "tRNA". From Rfam's summary of the family: Transfer RNA (tRNA) molecules are approximately 80 nucleotides in length. Their secondary structure includes four short double-helical elements and three loops (D, anti-codon, and T loops). RNAcentral also lists the same sequence under 5 other names. The record is from Rfam by way of RNAcentral. Lineage: Eukaryota; Metazoa; Chordata; Mammalia; Artiodactyla; Bovidae.